CAACAAACAGUUUUGGACAUUUUAUUUUUUUCCCAAAAAACAAUAUUUCUUUUAAAAUGUUUUAUUUGGGUUUUAAAUAUUUAUGGCCCCAAAAUAGCUCCACAGUCUUCCACCAGAGGGCGACAUGGUGAAGUGGGCGGGGCUCUCCUCCUGCUCUGUGUUCAACAUUCAGUCAAUAAGAAGUGGUGCUGUGAAGAGAACAAUUGUCAGAGUGAAUGUUGAACAUCAGCUAGUUUCUCCUGUUGAUUGAAACCUUGUUGUACAGAUGGAGCAUUGGCUGUGGAUUCUUCUUGCUGCUCUUUUCUUUGAGUGUAAAGGAGAAGACAAAGUGAUCCAACCAGGAGGAGAAGUCAUUGCUGCUGAAGGAGACUCUGUCACACUCAACUGUACCUUUGAGACCAAUGAUAGAGUCCCAACAUUGUUCUGGUACAAACAAGAAGUGAACAGUUACCCAAAGUACAUGUUGAAACGUUACUCAAAAACGAAAGAAAAUACUUCAGAGUUCAAGAAAGACAGAUUUGACGCUGAACUCAAAGACAAAUCAGUUCCUCUGACGAUCCAUAAUCUUCAUGUGUCAGACUCUGCUGUGUACUACUGUGCUCUGCAGCCCACAGUGACAGGAAACAACAAAACUAUGUACAAAAACCUGCAAGGACAAAUGCAGUACUCCUAAAC
Oryzias melastigma (Indian medaka) is the source of this 675-nucleotide non-coding RNA. Lineage: Eukaryota; Metazoa; Chordata; Actinopteri; Beloniformes; Adrianichthyidae. The record is from the annotation of a RefSeq genome assembly.